UCCGCCCUACGGGGCGCAGCAGUGAGGAAUAUUGGUCAAUGGUCGGGAGACUGAACCAGCCAAGCCGCGUGAGGGAUGAAGGUACAGAGUAUCGUAAACCUCUUUUGUCAGGGAACAAAGGCGGGGACGCGUCCCCGGAUGAGUGUACCUGAAGAAAAAGCAUCGGCUAACUCCGUGCCAGCAGCCGCGGUAAUACGGAGGAUGCGAGCGUUAUCCGGAUUUAUUGGGUUUAAAGGGUGCGCAGGCGGUCUGUUAAGUCAGCGGUCAAAGCCCGGGGCGUAACCCCGGCC
Molecule: ribosomal RNA, 290 nt
Filed under: uncultured bacterium
Lineage: Bacteria
Description: partial 16S ribosomal RNA
Rfam family: Bacterial small subunit ribosomal RNA
Source: RNAcentral